Molecule: long non-coding RNA, 577 nt
Organism: Cavia porcellus (domestic guinea pig)
Lineage: Eukaryota; Metazoa; Chordata; Mammalia; Rodentia; Caviidae
Exons: 2
Source: RefSeq, a predicted model, not a curated record
GUCUUUUUGCUGGUUCUGGCUUGCUGUUUGCAGCCGCCUUGAACUGUGGCCCAGCCAUGCCCACCUGCCUUGGAGCCAACUGAGUGUGGACUGAAACCUCCAAAAACUCUUUUUGUCAGUGACCAAACACCUGAACCCACAUUCUAAAGGAAGAAAUGGCUUAUUCAGCCCAUGGUUCCAGAGGAUUGACUCCAUGGCAAGCUGGUUCCAAGGCAGGAACAUCGUGGCAGGACUUCAUAAAGCAAAGCUGCUCAUUUCAUGAUGGCCGGAAGCAGGGCAGGAGAACAGCACCCGUGAGGCCAGGAAACAGAUGCAGUACCAAGGCCACACUCCAUGAGCCGCCCAGACACACCCACAGGCGUGUUUUAAUUGCCUGGGCAGCUCUUAAGCCAUUUUUGUUUGUUUGUUUUUUAAGAUCCCAUCUCGCUGAGUGGUUUAGGCUGGGCUUGACCUCCCUGUGCAGCACGGGUUGGCCUGGAACUAAGGGUGGCCUUUUGCCUUCAUCUCCCAAGUGAUGGGAUCACAGGUGUGCGCCACCAUGUUUGUCUAAAGCCAAUUAAAUUGACAAUCCAGGCUA